GACUUUCGGUGACUAAUGGGUUGGAGACAAUCCCAAGGUGCAUUGGCCGUGUGAUCCAGGACGAUAUUAUGGCAAAUGUGGGC
Molecule: long non-coding RNA, 83 nt
Filed under: Glossina morsitans morsitans
Lineage: Eukaryota; Metazoa; Arthropoda; Insecta; Diptera; Glossinidae
Description: sphinx_ conserved region 1
Rfam family: Sphinx_ conserved region 1
Source: RNAcentral